UUAAUUGAAGCCAAAAUAGAGGCUUAUCACUGUUAAUGAUAAAAUUGUAUUUAUAUACCAAUUAAA
This 66-nucleotide transfer RNA is filed under the name Leucochrysa pretiosa. RNAcentral describes it as "tRNA-Asn". The record is from RNAcentral. Lineage: Eukaryota; Metazoa; Arthropoda; Insecta; Neuroptera; Chrysopidae.